Gasterosteus aculeatus aculeatus (three-spined stickleback) is the source of this 1825-nucleotide long non-coding RNA. Lineage: Eukaryota; Metazoa; Chordata; Actinopteri; Perciformes; Gasterosteidae. The record is from Ensembl.
UAUCUAUUAAUUGAAUCAAAUAUUCCACCAAAAUAUGUAAUAUUACUAAUGAACAGACACGAUGAUCUCGUCAGUUUAGCUUAUUAACGGGGAAGCUGUUAGCAAGGAAACCAAUAUAUCCGCAACCGGUUAGCUUGCUAACGUGGAAGCUGUUAUCAAGCUAACCACUAUAUCCACAACCGGUUAGCUUGCUAAUCACUGUAUCCACAACCGGUUAGCUUGCUAACGUAGAAGCUGUUCGCAAGCUAACCACUAUAUCAACAACCAGUUAGCUACAAAAAAGCAGUUAGCAAGCUAACCAGUAGCUAACUCGUUAGCAUUACGUCCUCACCAGCCAGCCUUACCAACACUGAUUUUAAGUGCGAUGUGGUGUGGAAAGACAUAAUUUUAAAAUGUGCCCCAUCGAAUCCUUUGACAAACUCUCCAUGUUGGGGAAAAGUGAGAUUUCAUGCAGCUACGACUUCCUCAUCAAAUUAUUGAUUCUGCUCAAACUGUCAGAAACUAAUUGCUCAAGCGAUGAAGCUGUUAAUUUAUCCAACAGAGAAACAGAUGGCAAAGUGAUUGUUUCCUCACAAAUACUUAGAGGCAUGAGAGAGAGAGGAGAACAUCUAAUGUUAUCCAGCAAAGCGUAUUAGAUUGUUGUUUCACCAACUCAACCAGCCUUCCAAUUCCAUAUCCAGUAAUAAUAACACCAGCAAUAACACACCUGAAGGUACUUGAUUUUAUCCCUUAGGAUAGCAAAUAAAAAGGCACAUUUUGUAAAAGCCCAGUUUAACAUCACCUAUGUGCAAAUAUUAUUACGAUAAGAUAUGCUUGAUUCUUUGAUACGAUAUUUAUUGGUCCGUUUGGGAUUCAACAGGGCAAGAAAGUGAUCUUUCUACUGAUAUCGAAUCCGACUGCAGUCCAGUUGGUCAGUCUGUUGAAGUCACCUUUCAAGCUUAUGUCGUUUCUGUGCAGUACACUGGAACAUGACCCCAACUUGCACGAAAGCACAGCGGUUUGAACUCUUUCGGAGGCCUCUACAGCUGAAAUAUUGAUGACCUCCUGCGUUUCUUUUUCCCUUUGGACAAUGAGUCAAGAGCAAAUAACAGGAGGUUGUUUUAUUGUAUUAGUUUAUUUAAUUAAUCCUUUCCCGCAUUUACUUGUGAUCUUUCCAACUGCUUCAAACAUCGUCACAUAGAGCAGAAGGUCUUUGUUGACGUCACCGCUGUAAUGAGAUGUUUCAAAUAUCUUCACACGACAAUGAGUCGUGAGAACAGAGUUCAUCAUAAUAGCGCGAGUCCCAGAGGAGAGAGAGAGAGAGAGAAAAGACCUUUCUUUUUUUUCACUGAGACGAAGUGGAGGAAAUGAGAAAACGUAGAGGGAGAGACUCCAGAAAUGUUGCUUUGACCGUGUCGUUAAGCCUCAUCAAUCAGCCGGCUUUAGGGCCCCUGGUAGCCAAUAAUAAAUCUCGUGGCUGGUGAUGUCUCUGUCAAUGACAACCCCCCCCCCCCUCCAGCUCUCCGUCUGGGUGGGGCCCGGCGUGACUGGAGUGGGGGGCUCCCUCCAGCACGUCCUCCAGGUUUGGGCCGUAAACCAACCUCAUUUUCUGCUCCGCUGCUUUACAAAUGGCUUCUGGGGGCUGAACGCAGCGCCACAAAUGGGGACGCACUGAUGGCCAUAAGAGUCGUGUGAUCAGAGCCGGCAACGAUGCAGCCCGCUGUGCAGACCGGACGCACCUACCAAAACCAAAUGAUCUUUUUUCGAAAUUAGCACAUGUCAAUAACACGGAGACUCUUUUUAUUUUUUAUCAUGAUCUAUGACCAACAUCAGGGGAAAAUGUCCC